Camellia sinensis is the source of this 308-nucleotide non-coding RNA. The record is from RefSeq and is a predicted model, not a curated record. NCBI's taxonomy places the organism in Eukaryota, Viridiplantae, Streptophyta, Magnoliopsida, Ericales, Theaceae.
AUUUGGAAAGUUACAUUAGCACUAUUGGAGUUGACUUCAAAAUCCGCACAGUUGAGCAGGAUGGAAAACCAUUAAACUCCAGAUUGUAAGUUUUAAGUGCGUUAUUAGUUUGUUCUGUCUAUGAAAGCUGUAAAUUUCAGUUUCAGCUUUGAUUUAGUGUUUGAUUGGGAAUCUGUGUAAAUAAGGAAUGCCAUAUAAACAUUUCUUUGCCAUAGGAUGGAAAUUUUGCAUAAAAGUAUGCUUAAAUUCUGUAAAAAUUUGAAGGAUAGCUUUAUUCGAAAUGAAAUCCAGAGAAUUCACACUCUUGA